GGAAGAGUGUCCGAGUGGCCGAAGGAGCACGCUUGGAAAGUGUGUGUGCAUUAACCGUGUACCGUGGGUUCGAAUCCCACCUCUUCCG
RNAcentral lists this transfer RNA (88 nucleotides) under Chlamydiales bacterium. RNAcentral describes it as "tRNA-Ser". It matches the Rfam family "tRNA". From Rfam's summary of the family: Transfer RNA (tRNA) molecules are approximately 80 nucleotides in length. Lineage: Bacteria; Pseudomonadati; Chlamydiota; Chlamydiia; Chlamydiales. The record is from RNAcentral.